RNAcentral lists this unclassified non-coding RNA (343 nucleotides) under soil metagenome. RNAcentral's name for it is "partial contains 5.8S ribosomal RNA, internal transcribed spacer 2, and large subunit ribosomal RNA". The stretch from base 1 to 120 matches the Rfam family "5.8S ribosomal RNA", at positions 35 to 154 of the family's 154-position model. The record is from RNAcentral.
GAUGAAGAACGUAGCGAAACGCGAUAAGUAAUGUGAAUUGCAGAAUCCAGUGAAUCAUCGAAUCUUUGAACGCACAUUGCGCCCGCCAGCAUUCUGGCGGGCAUGCCUGUUCGAGCGUCAUUUCAACCCUCGACCUCCCCUUGGGGAGGUCGGCGUUGGGGACCGGCAGCACACCGCCGGCCCUGAAAUGGAGUGGCGGCCCGUCCGCGGCGACCUCUGCGCAGUAAUACAGCUCGCACCGGGACCCCGACGCGGCCACGCCGUAAAACACCCAACUUCUGAACGUUGACCUCGAAUCAGGUAAGACUACCCGCUGAACUUAAGCAUAUCAAUAAGCGGAGGA